Acanthochromis polyacanthus (spiny chromis) is the source of this 1311-nucleotide long non-coding RNA. RefSeq lists it as uncharacterized. The transcript has 6 exons. NCBI's taxonomy places the organism in Eukaryota, Metazoa, Chordata, Actinopteri, Pomacentridae. The record is from RefSeq and is a predicted model, not a curated record.
CUUACAGGCAUUUUCGCCGUGCUAGCUCACUCGGCGCUUACGUGUGAGAUGAUUGGACGGAAACAGAAACUCUGGCAGUCAAACCUGAGGGGGGCUGCGACAGUGAAAAUGCUCUCCCUCCUGUUUCUUCCUGGCACAUCGCCGAAACAGCCUGUUGAAGAGGAUGUAGAGGUGACUGAAGAUGAUGAGAGGUGGAGGCAGGAUGGGACGGUCAUGGAAAGUCAUGAUCAGCUGAUAUCUCUGAAACUUCCACACCUGGUUGGAAAUGGACUUGACUUCAAAGAAGGUGUUGCUGUGGGAGCGAAAAUGCUAACCAGGUCCCAGGUAUUUGUUGACUCCAAAGAUGUCCAAUACUCGAAUGUACCAGAAGAUGAUGUCUAUGCAGUAGAUGACUCGGCCGUAGCCCAUGUACGGUUCAUGCUGGAGCCGCAACAUGAGCCCCAGAAGGAAGGUGGAAAUUGCAACCAGAGCCAAGUGUGAGGAUGUAUGCAAUUACAGUCCACUCCUGUAUAGAUGGCCAUCGCUCCAUUUUCACCAGGAUGAUGUAGUUGUACAACAUUAAGUAGCCAAGAUAGCAAAUCUGCCAUAAAACAGUGAUAAAAUAAUUUUAUUGGACGUUAUAAUUCUGUUUAAAUGCUUGCUAUAAUUCUCUAUCAUGCAUAAGAAGAGGAACUUACAGUGUUGAACCAGAAUUUAGUGAACGGUGCGUCGUAAAACUCAAAGAACCUUUUGCCAAUGGGGAUUUUGCGGACUUUAGUGCUUCCUUCCUCUUCAUCUCCCUUUCGGGAAGUUGCGUCCGUGUUACCCUCCUACAACAAAACAGCAAACAUCUCACCAAGACUGUGACAACCCCCCACCUGGACAGGUGCUCCUGUCUUGCUGGGUCAUCAGCUCAUCAGCUGAGGGUCGUCAGCUGAUGAGCCACACCUGGGAUCAAGUGGCUCAACUCUACACAACUUUGAUCACUUCCAGAGCGGUUCUCUGCAGGAGCUUCAGCUGUGUGUUUUGGGUUUUCUGUGUGAGCCUUCGAGCCAGGCUGUAACAAAGACAUAUUUAAUUCUUGUACUAACGGUACAUGAUAGGAAGCAUCAUCUCCGAUACGGAAAUCCAACAGCAGAAUGAGAAGAGGAAAGAUGAUUCCCAGAAUAACCUAGGUGAGAUGUCACAGAGAGAUGAAGCCAUGAGUACAAGUGUCAUUAAUGUGAAAUAUUUGCUGUGGUUGCUUGAGAUGAACCAUUUUUCAUGCCAACCUUGAGGCCAGGGUUUUUUCCAAUCCUUAAGCAGCCCAUCCACAUGUCAGUGAGCAACAUC